AUUGCCUCAGUAACGGCGAGUGAAGCGGCAACAGCUCAAAUUUGAAAUCUGGCCCUAGGCCCGAGUUGUAAUUUGCAGAGGAUGCUUUUGGCGAGGUGCCUUCCGAGUUCCCUGGAACGGGACGCCAUAGAGGGUGAGAGCCCCGUCUGGUCGGACACCGAGCCUCUGUAAAGCUCCUUCGACGAGUCGAGUAGUUUGGGAAUGCUGCUCAAAAUGGGAGGUAUAUGUCUUCUAAAGCUAAAUACCGGCCAGAGACCGAUAGCGCACAAGUAGAGUGAUCGAAAGAUGAAAAGCACUUUGAAAAGAGAGUUAAAUAGCACGUGAAAUUGUUGAAAGGGAAGCGUUUAUGACCAGACUUGGCCCGGUUGAUCAUCCAGCGUUCUCGCUGGUGCACUCUGCCGGUCCAGGCCAGCAUCAGUUCGUCGCGGGGGAUAAAGGCUUCGGGAAUGUAGCUCCUCCGGGAGUGUUAUAGCCCGUUGCGUAAUACCCUGCGGUGGACUGAGGUCCGCGCUCUGCAAGGAUGCUGGCGUAAUGGUCAUCAACGACCCGUCUUGAAACACGGACCAAGGAGUCGUCUUCGUAUGCGAGUGUUCGGGUGUAAAACCCCUACGCGUAAUGAAAGUGAACGCAGGUGAGAGCUUCGGCGCAUCAUCGACCGAUCCUGAUGUUCUCGGAUGGAUUUGAGUAAGAGCAUACGGGGCCGGACCCGAAAGAAGGUGAACUAUGCCUGUAUAGGGUGAAGCCAGAGGAAACUCUGGUGGAGGCUCGCAGCGGUUCUGACGUGCAAAUCGAUCGUCAAAUAUGGGCAUGGGCGCGAAAGACUAAU
Molecule: ribosomal RNA, 826 nt
Filed under: Smaragdiniseta bisetosa
Lineage: Eukaryota; Fungi; Ascomycota; Sordariomycetes; Hypocreales; Stachybotryaceae
Description: eukaryotic LSU rRNA
Rfam family: Eukaryotic large subunit ribosomal RNA
Source: RNAcentral